CAGAGUCCCGAUGUCAUACUCGUGUUUCACCCACUCGUCGUCGCCGCCGCCGAUGUGACAAGCAAUUUCCUUUCUCCAGAUCAUCAGGAUCAGGGUGGUCGAUCGGAAAGCAGGCAGGUGCAAACGGAAUUACGGAAGGGAGGUUAUCCUCCUAUAGAUGCUGUAGCUGGAUCCUGGUGCUCCGGUCAUGAGGGUCGACGAGGUAGGUGGACGAGGCGGCGGCGUCGCGGAUCAGGACUUCUGCUCCGAGAUGCUGAAGAAGACGGGGUGAUCUGAACCCGCCGCGUGCUUCAGUGCAAGGCAGUUUUGCUCCACGUAAGCUCCUGGAACAAAUCUAGGCGAAGUCAAGGCAGGGGCAGUCGCUAUCACUCUCCAGGUAAGCUAAUUACGAUUUGGUCUCUAGCAACAUUUCCAAACAUAUUAGUCUUUGGCAUUUCAUAAUUGAUAGAUUCACACAGCUGUGCAUUCGAUCAGUAUGUGAUGGUCGUGGGUGUGGCAUGUGUUCUCAUACUGCCAGCCUUCACUCUUCUUUCAUAUAGUAGCAUAAAGUUUAUAAAUUAUGUCGAUUCUAUUGUAUCUGUCAAAUUGGGUGUUAUUGGUCACUUUGUCCUGAUAACAUUUCAUAUAAGCUUAUGCUGUGAGAAUGUGAAUUUGUCAGAUAAAUCUGUACAACGAAGAGUGUUUCUGGUGCUAUAUAUAUGAUAUGAGAAUUAUUUUGCUUGGCAUUUCGUGGGAAAAUAUUGUUGGUCCGAGACGGCCAAGGAGCGCUCAACAUGGCACAUCGGAAAGGGGAGUCAACAUGGCUCAACCUAAAGGCGGCGGAGUUGAACGCAUCAACAUGACACGCUCGGGCCAUAGGGAUAUUGUUAAUUGGAUAAUCAUGCUUCUCUAUUGGUAUAUUUUUUCUUUCUUUGUCAUCUAUACUAAUGACUUUAGGUACGUGUUGGUUGGCCA
This is a long non-coding RNA of Panicum virgatum (switchgrass), 954 nucleotides long. RefSeq lists it as uncharacterized. The transcript has 2 exons. NCBI's taxonomy places the organism in Eukaryota, Viridiplantae, Streptophyta, Magnoliopsida, Poales, Poaceae. The record is from RefSeq and is a predicted model, not a curated record.